Molecule: transfer RNA, 73 nt
Filed under: Canis lupus familiaris (dog)
Lineage: Eukaryota; Metazoa; Chordata; Mammalia; Carnivora; Canidae
Also listed under: 1 other name
Rfam family: tRNA
About the family: Transfer RNA (tRNA) molecules are approximately 80 nucleotides in length. Their secondary structure includes four short double-helical elements and three loops (D, anti-codon, and T loops).
Source: Rfam by way of RNAcentral
ACCUAGCUGGCUCACUCAGUAGAGCAUGCGACUCUUGAUCUCAGGGCUGUGAGUUUGAGCCCCAUGUUGGGUA